UGCAGGGGGAGAAAGGUGACCGAGGGGAAAGGGGCCCUCCUGGGCUUGUGGAUGGGGCAGCACCUCGCGGGGAGCCCGGAUCCCCGGGGCUGCCUGGGGACCCUGGGCCCCGGGGACCUGCUGGGCCCCCUGGCCUGAAGGGAGAGAAGG
Molecule: long non-coding RNA, 150 nt
Organism: Pezoporus flaviventris
Lineage: Eukaryota; Metazoa; Chordata; Aves; Psittaciformes; Psittacidae
Exons: 3
Source: RefSeq, a predicted model, not a curated record